GAAAGGCGAAACGUAAUGUGAAUCGCAACUAACAGUGAAUCAUCGAAUCUUUGAACGCAGGCCGCAUCUUGCAACAUCACUCUGUGUUGUUACUAGGUAUCUACGUAUGAGUGUCAGCCCAAUAUCCUUUAUUGGUUCAAGAUGUAUUUUGAUGAAAUCUUUUUAAGAUUUUUUCUCAGAGUCUUGGAUACAUAUUUUAUGGAAAUAAUUUAUGUCUGGCCUCAUAUGUGGAAGGUUACCCGCUGGAUUUAAGC
Molecule: unclassified non-coding RNA, 254 nt
Filed under: plant metagenome
Description: partial contains 5.8S ribosomal RNA, internal transcribed spacer 2, and large subunit ribosomal RNA
Rfam family: 5.8S ribosomal RNA (bases 1-116)
Source: RNAcentral